RNAcentral lists this ribosomal RNA (388 nucleotides) under uncultured bacterium. RNAcentral's name for it is "bacterial SSU rRNA". It matches the Rfam family "Bacterial small subunit ribosomal RNA", at positions 28 to 417 of the family's 1533-position model. The record is from RNAcentral.
GACGAACGCUGGCGGCGUGCUUAACACAUGCAAGUCGAGCGGUAAGGCCCUUUCGGGGGUACACGAGCGGCGAACGGGUGAGUAACACGUGGGUGACCUGCCCUCAGCUCUGGGAUAAGCCUGGGAAACUGGGUCUAAUACUGGAUAUGACUCCACGGUGCAUGUCGUGGGGUGGAAAGCCUUGUGCGGCUGAGGAUGGGCCCGCGGCCUAUCAGCUUGUUGGUGGGGNGAUGGCCUACCAAGGCGACGACGGGUAGCCGGCCUGAGAGGGCGACCGGCCACACUGGGACUGAGACACGGCCCAGACUCCUACGGGAGGCAGCAGUGGGGAAUCUCGCGCAAUGGGCGAAAGCCUGACGCAGCGACGCCGCGUGAGGGAUGACGGCCU